RNAcentral lists this ribosomal RNA (387 nucleotides) under uncultured bacterium. RNAcentral describes it as "bacterial SSU rRNA". It matches the Rfam family "Bacterial small subunit ribosomal RNA", at positions 28 to 417 of the family's 1533-position model. The record is from RNAcentral.
GACGAACGCUGGCGGCGUGCUUAACACAUGCAAGUCGAGCGGUAAGGCCCUUUUGGGGGUACACGAGCGGCGAACGGGUGAGUAACACAUGGGUGACCUGCCCUCAGCUCUGGGAUAAGCCUGGGAAACUGGGUCUAAUACUGGAUAUGACCUUUCCUCGCAUGGGGGUUGGGUGGAAAGUUUUUUCGGCUGGGGAUGGGCCCGCGGCCUAUCAGCUUGUUGGUGGGGUGAUGGCCUACCAAGGCGACGACGGGUAGCCGGCCUGAGAGGGCGACCGGCCACACUGGGACUGAGACACGGCCCAGACUCCUACGGGAGGCAGCAGUGGGGAAUAUUGCGCAAUGGGCGGAAGCCUGACGCAGCGACGCCGCGUGGGGAUGACGGCCU